This 305-nucleotide ribosomal RNA is filed under the name uncultured bacterium. RNAcentral's name for it is "bacterial SSU rRNA". It matches the Rfam family "Bacterial small subunit ribosomal RNA", at positions 334 to 636 of the family's 1533-position model. The record is from RNAcentral.
GUGUGCCUACGGGACGCAGCAGUGAGGAAUAUUGGUCAAUGGCCGAGAGGCUGAACCAGCCACGUCGCGUGAGGGAAGACGGCCCUACGGGUUGUAAACCUCUUUUGUCGGGGAGCAAAGAGAGUCACGUGUGACUCAUUGAGAGUACCCGAAGAAAAAGCAUCGACUAACUCCGUGCCAGCAGCCGCGGUAAUACGGAGGAUGCGAGCGUUAUCCGGAUUUAUUGGGUUUAAAGGGUGCGCAGGCGGAUUUUUAAGUCAGCGGUCAAAUCGUGGGGCUCAACCCCAUCCAGCCGUUGAAACUGG